UGAGAUAAGUGACUUAGGUUUAGUUUAAU
RNAcentral lists this non-coding RNA (29 nucleotides) under Rattus norvegicus (Norway rat). The record is from RNAcentral. Lineage: Eukaryota; Metazoa; Chordata; Mammalia; Rodentia; Muridae.